UGGGGAAUAUUCCGCAAUGGACGAAAGUCUGACGGAGCAACGCCGCGUGAGUGAUGAAGGUUUUCGGACUGUAAAACUCUGUUGUUUAGGACGAAAGUGCCUGUUGCAAAUAGUUGCAGGUAUUGACGGUACUGAACGAGGAAGCCACGGCUAACUACGUGCCAGCAGCCGCGGUAAUACGUAGGUGGCAAGCGUUGUCCGGAAUUAUUGGGCGUAAAGAGCAUGUAGGUGGAUACUUAAGUCUGUUGUGAAAAUGCGGGGCUCAACCCCGUAUUGCGAUGGAAACUGGGUGUCUUGAGUGCAGGAGAGGAAAGGGGAAUUCCCAGUGUAGCGGUGAAAUGCGUAGAUAUUGGGAGGAACACCAGUGGCGAAGGCGCCUUUCUGGACUGUGUCUGACACUGAGAUGCGAAAGCUAGGGGAGCGAACG
RNAcentral lists this ribosomal RNA (427 nucleotides) under uncultured bacterium. RNAcentral's name for it is "bacterial SSU rRNA". It matches the Rfam family "Bacterial small subunit ribosomal RNA", at positions 355 to 774 of the family's 1533-position model. RNAcentral also lists the same sequence under 1 other name. The record is from RNAcentral.